CCGGAGAUUUCAACUGUGUCCCAAACGUAUUCGAUAAAGAGAUCAAACACAAUCGUAAGGUGAAUAACCAAAUUAAAAACCAAUCUAACUCCUUAAAUAAUAUUUUGAAAGAAAACAACCUAUUAGACAUAUGGCGGGUAAAUAAUACAUCCGAAAAACACUAUAUGCAUCUAGCUAGGGUACACCAAUCCUUUUCUACGAUCGAUUUAAUAUUAGAGGAAAAUAGCUUGGUGGAACAGACUACCAAAAUUUUGCUAAAAGACCAUCUGUGGGCAGAUCAUAGUUAUAUUACAUUUCAAAAGUAUAUAAGCU
This is a non-coding RNA of Pelobates cultripes (western spadefoot toad), 312 nucleotides long. NCBI's taxonomy places the organism in Eukaryota, Metazoa, Chordata, Amphibia, Anura, Pelobatidae. The record is from the annotation of a GenBank genome assembly.